UCGAGAGGCUUCUACAAUGGGGGAAACCCUGAUAGAGCGACGCCGCGUGGGUGAUGAAGGUCUUCGGAUCGUAAAGCCCUUUCAGCAGGGAAGAAUGAGGCUGGUGUAAACAGCGCCAGACUCGGGACGGUACCUGCAGAAGAAGCUCCGGCUAACUCCGUGCCAGCAGCCGCGGUAAGACGGAGGGAGCAAGCGUUGUUCGGAUUUACUGGGCGUAAAGGGCGUCUAGGCGGGCCAGCCAGUCAGGUGUGAAACCCCCCGGCUCAACCGGGGAUCUGCACUUGAUACUGCUGGUCUUGAGUACGAAAGAGGAAGGCGGAAUUCCUGGUGUAGCGGUGAAAUGCGUAGAUAUCAGGAAGAACACCGGUGGCGAAGGCGGCCUUCUGGUUCGAUACUGACGCUAAAGCGCGAAAGUGUGGGGAGCAAACAG
RNAcentral lists this ribosomal RNA (430 nucleotides) under uncultured bacterium. Its description in RNAcentral is "bacterial SSU rRNA". It matches the Rfam family "Bacterial small subunit ribosomal RNA", at positions 355 to 775 of the family's 1533-position model. The record is from RNAcentral.